AGUUUGAUCCUGGCUCAGGAUGAACGCUGGCGGCGUGCCUAAUACAUGCAAGUCGAACGCUUUGUGGUUCAACUGAUUUGAAGAGCUUGCUCAGAUAUGACGAUGGACAUUGCAAAGAGUGGCGAACGGGUGAGUAACACGUGGGAAACCUACCUCUUAGCAGGGGAUAACAUUUGGAAACAGAUGCUAAUACCGUAUAACAAUAGCAACCGCAUGGUUGCUACUUAAAAGAUGGUUCUGCUAUCACUAAGAGAUGGUCCCGCGGUGCAUUAGUUAGUUGGUGAGGUAAUGGCUCACCAAGACAAUGAUGCAUAGCCGAGUUGAGAGACUGAUCGGCCACAAUGGGACUGAGACACGGCCCAUACUCCUACGGGAGGCAGCAGUAGGGAAUCUUCCACAAUGGGCGAAAGCCUGAUGGAGCAACGCCGCGUGUGUGAUGAAGGGUUUCGGCUCGUAAAACACUGUUGUAAGAGAAGAAUGACAUUGAGAGUAACUGUUCAAUGUGUGACGGUAUCUUACCAGAAAGGAACGGCUAAAUACGUGCCAGCAGCCGCGGUAA
This 559-nucleotide ribosomal RNA is filed under the name uncultured bacterium. RNAcentral's name for it is "bacterial SSU rRNA". It matches the Rfam family "Bacterial small subunit ribosomal RNA", at positions 10 to 523 of the family's 1533-position model. The record is from RNAcentral.